ACUCAAAUGAAUUGACGGGGGCCCGCACAAGCAGCGGAGCAUGUGGUUUAAUUCGAAGCAACGCGAAGAACCUUACCAGGUCUUGACAUCAAUGGAAUUUCUGAGAGAUCAGAAAGCGCCUUCGGGCGCCAGAAGACAGGUGGUGCAUGGUUGUCGUCAGCUCGUGUCGUGAGAUGUUGGGUUAAGUCCCGCAACGAGCGCAACCCUUGCGAUUGGUUGCUAACAGGUAAAGCUGAGGACUCCAAUAGGACCGCCGGGGACAACUCGGAGGAAGGUGGGGACGACGUCAAAUCAUCAUGCCCCUUACGACCUGGGCUACACACGUGCUACAAUGGCCACUACAAAGAGAGGCGAAGUCGUAAGGCGGAGCGGAUCUGUGAAAAGUGGUCUCAGUUCGGAUUGAGGGCUGCAACCCGCCCUCAUGAAGUCGGAGUUGCUAGUAAUCGCGAAUCAGCAUGUCGCGGUGAAUACGUUCCCGGGCCUUGCACACACCGCCCGU
RNAcentral lists this ribosomal RNA (499 nucleotides) under uncultured bacterium. RNAcentral describes it as "bacterial SSU rRNA". It matches the Rfam family "Bacterial small subunit ribosomal RNA", at positions 899 to 1397 of the family's 1533-position model. The record is from RNAcentral.